UAACGCGUGGGUAACCUGCCUCAUACAGGGGGAUAACAGUUGGAAACGACUGCUAAUACCGCAUAAGCGCACAGGAUCGCAUGAUCCGGUGUGAAAAACUCCGGUGGUAUGAGAUGGACCCGCGUCUGAUUAGCCAGUUGGCAGGGUAACGGCCUACCAAAGCGACGAUCAGUAGCCGACCUGAGAGGGUGACCGGCCACAUUGGGACUGAGACACGGCCCAAACUCCUACGGGAGGCAGCAGUGGGGAAUAUUGCACAAUGGGGGAAACCCUGAUGCAGCGACGCCGCGUGAGCGAAGAAGUAUUUCGGUAUGUAAAGCUCUAUCAGCAGGGAAGAAGAAUGACGGUACCUGACUAAGAAGCACCGGCUAAAUACGUGCCAGCAGCCGCGGUAAUACGUAUGGUGCAAGCGUUAUCCGGAUUUACUGGGUGUAAAGGGAGCGCAGGCGGUGCGGCAAGUCUGAUGUGAAAGCCCGGGGCUCAACCCCGGUACUGCAUUGGAAACUGUCGUACUAGAGUGUCGGAGGGGUAAGUGGAAUUCCUAGUGUAGCGGUGAAAUGCGUAGAUAUUAGGAGGAACACCAGUGGCGAAGGCGGCUUACUGGACGAUAACUGACGCUGAGGCUCGAAAGCGUGGGGGAGCAAACAGGAUUAGAUACCCUGAUAGUCCACGCCGUAAACGAUGAAUACUAGGUGU
RNAcentral lists this ribosomal RNA (696 nucleotides) under uncultured bacterium. RNAcentral describes it as "bacterial SSU rRNA". It matches the Rfam family "Bacterial small subunit ribosomal RNA", at positions 111 to 823 of the family's 1533-position model. The record is from RNAcentral.